AUUGAACGCUGGCGGCAUGCUUUACACAUGCAAGUCGAACGGCAGCGCGGGCUUCGGCCUGGCGGCGAGUGGCGAACGGGUGAGUAAUGCAUCGGAACGUGCCCAGAAGUGGGGGAUAGCGCGGCGAAAGCCGGAUUAAUACCGCAUACGAACUGAGGGUGAAAGCGGGGGACCGAAAGGCCUCGCGCUAUUGGAGCGGCCGAUGUCGGAUUAGCUAGUUGGUGGGGUAAAGGCUUACCAAGGCGACGAUCCGUAGCUGGUCUGAGAGGACGACCAGCCACACUGUGACUGAGACACGGCCCAGACUCCUACGGGAGGCAGCAGUGGGGAAUUUUGGACAAUGGGGGCAACCCUGAUCCAGCCAUGCCGCGUGCGGGAAGAAGGCCUUCGGGUUGUAAACCGCUUUUGUUCGGGAAGAAAUCCUCUGGGCUAAUACCCCGGGGGGAUGACGGUACCGGAAGAAUAAGCACCGGCUAACUACGUG
This 484-nucleotide ribosomal RNA is filed under the name uncultured bacterium. Its description in RNAcentral is "partial 16S ribosomal RNA". It matches the Rfam family "Bacterial small subunit ribosomal RNA", at positions 29 to 507 of the family's 1533-position model. The record is from RNAcentral.